CCAAGGAAAGCGCUUCAAUGUACAAAAACUUCCCUUUGUUUAUAUGAUCUAUCUAAGAGGAAACCAUAGAAGCGUUUCAGUAAUCAGUAUAGUGUACUCAAGUUUGCUGCGUCUUUAGUAUACUCAUCUAAUCUACAAUCUAUGUCUGGAGUGUAUAUGUAUCGAAUGGGAGUCGACAACAUCUGAAUGGGGAACUCCGUUCCAAUCCACUUAUACUUGCGCCACUGGCUGGUCAGGUCAGGCCUCCUUGUAGAAACAGUCGACAUCUGGAAGAGCGGCAGCGAUCUCGUCCCUGCAAAAGAGCUCACAUGGUUCAGAUCUGCUACUACUAGACUAACCAACAGGGGAAAGGCAACAAAAAUGAUAUCGGAAUGGGAAAUAACAAUGGCCGUUGCUACUCAAAAUAAUACAGAAUAUCAAAUAACGCGCAACAUCUGAAGUGCUCCGAUUCCAGCAUAAUUUGGUUUGUCGCAACCAUGAUAAGGUCAGCCAUUCUAGGUAGCAUAACAGCUCGAUUAAGCAUCCUAAAAGUCGAUAGAUGGUAGCUGAAAAUGCCGACAUAAAUAGGAAAACUCACAUAUCUUGUUGUGCUGCGCCUCCAUCCGGCACACCUGGCACGUCAUCCGGAACACCUGGCACUUGUCCUGCCGCUCCAUUCCCAGCAGGGUUCCUGUAUUUGCAACACUUCCAGACUUGAGCAUUCAGAGUUUGCAAUUGCAAAAAAAGUCUCUUGUUCCUGAACUUGUAAUAUUUAAAAUAUAUUGGGUAAGGUAAAAAAAAGAAGGAAAACUCACAUAUCUUGUUCUGCUGCGUCUCCAUCCAGCACACCUAGCACGUCAUCUGGCACUGCAACCGGGGCAUUUGGCACAUGUCCUAGCCCUCCACCCGGGCCAUUCAGC
Molecule: long non-coding RNA, 899 nt
Filed under: Triticum aestivum (bread wheat)
Lineage: Eukaryota; Viridiplantae; Streptophyta; Magnoliopsida; Poales; Poaceae
Description: long non-coding RNA (TAES_LNC020398)
Source: RNAcentral